This 587-nucleotide ribosomal RNA is filed under the name uncultured Bacillota bacterium. RNAcentral's name for it is "bacterial SSU rRNA". It matches the Rfam family "Bacterial small subunit ribosomal RNA", at positions 1 to 595 of the family's 1533-position model. Lineage: Bacteria; Bacillati; Bacillota. The record is from RNAcentral.
GCGGGAAUUCGAUUAGAGUUUGAUCAUGGCUCAGGAUUAACGUUAGUAGUAUGCUUAACACAUGCAAGUGGAGCGGGGAAGAUAGAAAUUUAUUUUUAUUUUCUUAGCGUCGGACGGGUGAGUAAUGCUUAUCUGACUUACCGAUUAGUGGGGGAUAGCCGCGGGAAACUGUGGGUAAUACCGCAUUUGUUGUAUAUUCGUUUAUGCAAUUAAAGGAAGCUUCGGCUUUCGCUAAUUGAUAGGGAUAAGUCGUAUUACCUAUGUUGGUGGGGUAAAAGCCUACCAAGGCAAUGAUGCGUAGCCAGCCCGAGAGGGUGUAUGGCCACAAAGGGACUGAGACCCGGCCCUUACUCCUACGGGAGGCACCAGUGGGGAAUAUUCGUAAUGGGGGGAACCCUGAACGAGCAAUACUACGUGGGGGAUGAAGGUCUAAGGAUUGUAAACCCCUGUUAUCGCAGAAAAAGAGUACUUGUUACUUUGAUUGUAUGCGAAGAGGAAGUGACGACUAUAUAUGUGCCAGCAGCCGCGGUAAUACGAAUCACUAGUGAAUUCGCGGCCGCCUGCAGGUCGACCAUAUGGGAGCGCCC